Molecule: long non-coding RNA, 245 nt
Filed under: Solanum tuberosum (potato)
Lineage: Eukaryota; Viridiplantae; Streptophyta; Magnoliopsida; Solanales; Solanaceae
Description: long non-coding RNA (STUB_LNC009022)
Source: RNAcentral
UAUUUAGUUGUCCAUUUUGACAAAUCAAGAAAGGACAACAAAUUUUUCCUAUUAUACCCUUAUUUACACUUCUUGAAAAUUGUAAAAGUGUAUGUUGUUUCCCUCCAAUUUAUUUCACUUGAAUUCAAAUAAGUGGUUGUAAUUUUGAAGUGAAAAGUUGUCAUAAGGGUAAAAUUGUAACUUCACUGUGCUAAUCAUUGUUGCCUUAAUCUGUGUGCCAUUUCUAAAGUGGACAACUAAAAAGG